CCUACGGCGGCUGCAGUGGGGAAUAUUGGGCAAUGGGCGCAAGCCUGACCCAGCAACGCCGCGUGAAGGAAGAAGGCUUUCGGGUUGUAAACUUCUUUUCUCAGGGACGAAGCAAGUGACGGUACCUGAGGAAUAAGCCACGGCUAACUACGUGCCAGCAGCCGCGGUAAUACGUAGGUGGCAAGCGUUAUCCGGAUUUACUGGGUGUAAAGGGCGUGUAGGCGGGAAAGCAAGUCAGAUGUGAAAACCACGGGCUCAACCUGUGGCCUGCAUUUGAAACUGUUUUUCUUGAGUACUGGAGAGGCAGACGGAAUUCCUUGUGUAGCGGUGAAAUGCGUAGAUAUAAGGAGGAACACCAGUGGCGAAGGCGGUCUGCUGGACAGCAACUGACGGUGAGGCGCGAAAGCGUGGGGAGCAAACAGGAUUAGAUACCCCUGUAGUC
RNAcentral lists this ribosomal RNA (442 nucleotides) under uncultured bacterium. Its description in RNAcentral is "partial 16S ribosomal RNA". It matches the Rfam family "Bacterial small subunit ribosomal RNA", at positions 338 to 795 of the family's 1533-position model. The record is from RNAcentral.